AUUAAACAGCAGAAACCUGAUUUAUGAAGGGAUGCGGCUGAUCAGCAGCAGUUCAGGUUAGCUUCAUAUUGCGAUUAAUCAGGUUGAUUUCAGUGUGUUAUUGAUUAAUCGCAACUUAAUUUCAAAUAAUGAACAAUUUAAGCAAUAUUUUUAUUUUUAAGACCAUUUUUUCUGCUAAAUUGUUAAAGAAAUAGACAUGAGCUCAUCGACGACAAUAUUUAUCAUUUUUAAUUUGAUCUUCAACCAUCAGAUUGGAGCAAAGUUCAGCUUUUCAGGAAUGUGGUUGCCGACAUUAGCAUUAGCGAUAGCUGCUAAUGCUAACUUCAGAAGCGUUAGCAUGCUGACAUGCUAGCAGUUAACAUUGAGAUGCCAUUUUAUGCUUGAAUAGCUUCAAUGACAGGCUAGCUUCUUUUAGCACAACUUGAACACAAUAAUAGUCUUUUCCAUAUCAAUUUAGAAGCUGAAUUGAACAGAGAAGCGGCUUCAUCAUCCAUUGCUGUCAGCGGAUUUAGCUUGUGCAUCAGAUUUGCAGUCGUAUCAGGAACAAACGGCUACAAAUGUUCCACUCUGAAAUUUUGUAUAAUUUUUUUAAUUGACUAAUUUCAUCAGCAUUGAUAUCGGAAGCAGCAGAUACUAUCAAGUAUUUAACAUAUCAAUAUCGGCCCAAUAAGUAAAACUGGACCAAUAUUAAUUAUUCAAUCAUAACGACCAAUGUUUAUUUACAUCCUGUUAGUUUGGGUUGUUGUUUGUUUGGUUAUGUGUUGUUGAUCCAGGAUUAUCAGUUCUCUAGCUGAUAAUCCUGUUAGUAAUAUCUGUUGUUUAUUCACAGUGUAGAAAGAACAGAAAAAUAUAAUAUUUAUAAUAUUGGUCAAUUUUCAUAUCGGUGCAUCGCCACUGGACAUUUUAGAAAAACUAAAAUCACACGACAUGCAGGUGAUCUGUUCUCAGUUUUUGAUUUUGAUUUUUAGGAACUAAAAAUUUAAAAAAUCUGAAUAUGUAAAUUAAACUUCAGCAUCUCACUAUGAAACAAAUAAAGAAAACUGAAGCAGGAUUACUUUUAAACAAAAUAAAUUUAAAAAGUGUCUGGAUGGAGAGGAAGAAAGUUUGUGCUUCUGAAUUCACCAAAGAUCUUUUCUUCCGCUGAGAGUCUCCACUCACCCUGACCUGACGCUGCAGGUGCUCCAGGUUCGCUUUCCCUCUUGUUUUAGGGUAAACGUCAGAUAUUAACAGGCUGUUAGAGUCAGCAGUUAGGAAUGCAGAGCUGCAUACUGUCAACAUGCAACAGCAGCGCAGAAACAAAGCCGCCUCAGAGAGGCUCUCCUUAACCAGGCCUAAUAACACAGACGAGUUUCAGGCAAGGUAGCUGCUGCUGCUGGAGUUAUCAACCAAAACUAAGAUAAACAAAGUUAAAGGUUCUGGAACGUUGAUCCAUGGAGCAGGAAGCACGAGUUUCAGGGAGGAAAAUGUCCAGGAUCUGAAACAAACCCAACAGUUUCUCCUCCGGCCUCCCCUCCAGCUCUGCGGCUGUUUGUUUCGGAUCCUGGAGCGUUGCCAUGGAAACGUGCAUUUAACAGCAGGUGAGGAGGAGGAGGGAGGAAACUCCUUCAUCCAACCGUCUGACUUGGUUUUCCUGCUCAGCCUGCAGCAGCAGAAAGCAAAGCAUGGAAAGUGAGAAGCAGGAGAGUUUUCCCCUUCAGAGACUGAGCUGGUUCUGUGUCGGUUCUGCUGGUUCUGGUAGUUUCUCUGUGAGCAGAAUGAAAGGAGGAUUUCAAUCCACAAACUGUUUCCAGAUCAGCUCGUUAGCAGUGAGGGACCCCGGCCAGGAUUCCUGCAUGGUGCCGUCAUGUGCAGCUGGGUGUCCCUCAGGAGGUCCAGACCCGGUCCAGACCGACGGCUGGAGGCUCAGGGCGGAGGGGCCACAUUUACAUGUUCCCAACUGGCUUCACUGAUCCAGUCUGCUGUAAAAAUAUGACUCAGAAUAAAAGUAUAUGGAGCCGUUUGCAAAGUUACAGGCCACAACAAACAUUUUCAUUCAUUUAUAUGUCAGUUUCAAACUAAAUGUUUAGUUUACAUC
Molecule: long non-coding RNA, 2074 nt
Organism: Poecilia latipinna (sailfin molly)
Lineage: Eukaryota; Metazoa; Chordata; Actinopteri; Cyprinodontiformes; Poeciliidae
Exons: 3
Source: RefSeq, a predicted model, not a curated record